CGCCGCGCGAUCCGCCGCGCGCCGCUCACCCCGCCGCCGCUGACUGCCCCGACGCCGUCGAACUCCCGGCCCAGCCCGUCGGAGUCGUCCAGCACGCCCGUGGGAUGGAGACCCCCAAAAUGGCAAAGAGAAGACCCAAAGGCUAUAGGACACACGAGUUUUCAUCUUCAGAGCCCUAUUUGGAAUCAGAUUGUUUUGUCCCUUAACUACAAACCUAAAUUCAUUCAAGCCCAUGACACAUGUGGCUGAUUCCCCAGGGUGCAGGUCUUGGUGGGAGGCAGAUGCCACUGUUUCAGGAGUGAAGGAGCCAGAUCAUCCCAAUUGCAGCUCCAAGCAGCGGGGGGGUGUAGCAGUGACCAGCCUCCCACAAGCCAGUUCCUUGAACCUGUGACUUUGAUCGUGUAAAGGUAACUAGAUGGAUGUAUGGGCCGCAAAGAGAGCACCCCGGAGCCAUGCAUGUCAGAGUCCAGAGAAGCACCAGCACCAAGGCUCCCUCAGAGGAGCCCUGAGCGCCUGGAACAGCAGGGUCAAAGUGCCAUCCUAACCUAUGGCUCAGGCACGGUGACCUGGGCUGCCUUUCUGGUCCUCUGGCUCUGUCCUGUUUCACAAACAAGCCUGGUUGGGCACUUCAGCAGUUCUGUGCCUUAUCCUGAUUUCUAAGUCAUUCACUUUCUGCUCAAAUCAGCUACAGGUGGUGCUGUUGUCCUCAGCAGAGAACCCCGUGCAAUACACCAGGCUGCCGUCCGGAGCAUAGGCAAUCACGGAAAAGAUUUCUCAGCCUCCUGUGUCUGCAUUCCCCACCCCUCUGACCUUAGGCUUUAAAACACUGUCUUUGCCACCUCUCGUUCUUCCGUUGGUCAUUGUUGCUGCAUGGAUUUGCUCAAAUCAGAGAAAUCCAGAAAGUUUGGCUCUCCUCUGUGUUACACCCUUGAUUCAGCUGUUCGUCUUUGGAUCUUUUUUUGCACUGUUGCCAGGGGAAGAAUUUUAGAAUCCUCCUAAUCCCAAACCUGAAGCAUGAAGAAAAUGACAGUUUCCACCCCUCAAAAUAUUUUUUUUUCAAACAUCUAGUGCAAUACUUUACAGCAAAUAUAAGGCAAAGCACAUAUGUAAUUUGAAAUUUCCUGUAGCACAUUAAAAAAAAAAAAAAAAAGAUGAGGGGUGUUUAGGUGGCUCAAGUGUGACCUCGGGAUCCUGGGAUGAAGCCCCACAUCUAGCUCUCUGCUCAGCGGGGAGUUGGCUUCUCCCUCUCCCUCUGCCUGCUGCUCCUCCUGCUUGCAGUCUCUCUUGCUCUCUCUGUGUCAAAUAAAUAAAUGAAAUCUUUAAAAAAAUAAAAAUUAAAAAACUAAAAAGCAGAUGAGAUCAAUUUUAACAAUAUCUUUUGUUUAAUCCCAAAUACCCA
This is a long non-coding RNA of Nyctereutes procyonoides (raccoon dog), 1399 nucleotides long. RefSeq lists it as uncharacterized. The transcript has 3 exons. Lineage: Eukaryota; Metazoa; Chordata; Mammalia; Carnivora; Canidae. The record is from RefSeq and is a predicted model, not a curated record.